CCUACGGGAGGCAGCAGUGAGGAAUAUUGGUCAAUGGGCUUACGCCUGAACCAGCCAAGUCGCGUGAGGGAAGACUGCCCUAUGGGUUGUAAACCUCUUUUGUCAGGGAGCAACGCCGGCUACGUGUAGCCGGACUGAGAGUACCUGAAGAAAAAGCAUCGGCUAACUCCGUGCCAGCAGCCGCGGUAAUACGGAGCAUGCGAGCGUUAUCCGGAUUUAUGGGGUUUAAAGGGUGCGUAGGCGGAAUGCCAAGUCAGCGGUAAAAUCGCGGGGCUCAACCUCGCUCCGCCGUUGAAACUGGCGUUCUUGAGUGGGCGAGAAGUAUGCGGAAUGCGUGGUGUAGCGGUGAAAUGCAUAGAUAUCACGCAGAACUCCGAUUGCGAAGGCAGCAUACCGGCGCCCAACUGACGCUGAAGCACGAAAGCGUGGGUAUCGAACAGGAUUAGAUACCCCAGUAGUC
RNAcentral lists this ribosomal RNA (460 nucleotides) under uncultured bacterium. RNAcentral's name for it is "partial 16S ribosomal RNA". It matches the Rfam family "Bacterial small subunit ribosomal RNA", at positions 338 to 795 of the family's 1533-position model. The record is from RNAcentral.